CUUAGAUAUUGCUGAUGCGUCAGGACUCUGCUGUGAUUAUCUGCUUUCUUUGAGAUCACUCAAUGGCACAUCCACACAGAACCUUGGCUCACAUUUCACAUUUAUCUCCUUGCACCAUGUAGCUUCACAAUUGCUGCUGAAAAGGUGAUACCAUGAAGCCGCUCAGCACCCAUGCAUAGCACAAUCCAGAUGGUCAGUUAUCAUACUUCACGGGGCUCUUAAUAGCCAAUGGAGCUUCCAUACCACUUCUCUGGAGACGUUUCACAAACCUAAGCAAUCUGCUUAUUGUGAAGAUGUGGCCAGCUUAGUGCAGUGAAAAAAGUCACCUUUCCAAAACAAACAAAAACAAGUGCCUUCUAGGAAGACAGCCACAGGCAUAGAUGAAGACUGAAGCAAAUCCCGGUCCUUAGUAAGAAGCAACUCCCAAGCUCACUGUACUGAGAGAUGAGAAUAAGAAAGGAUGAAGUUCUGUCACAUUCAGGAAAAAAUAUAUAGGGUGAACUGAGUGGUGCUUAUAAGCCUUUUCCCAUCCCCUAGGCAAUAUGGAGUUUGUCUAGCGAAGACUUGGACCAGAAGCGAAGAACUCUGCACAUCAGUCUGAAUCUGGGUGCUUGCUUUAUUGGUUAACAAAGACAGGAGACUUGAUUCUGUAAAGAACUGUACUCAUGGCUUCUUCCUGUGUUAAUGACAUGUAAGGAAUAAGACACUGCCUAAGCCCUUGAGGAACUAUGGCCUACAGCCGAGGAACACUUCCCAAUAAGCAGCUGCAACUAAAUGAGACGAUUGCUGUAAUGAUGUGUAUGCCAAGUGCAGUAGAGAGAGAAGAGGCACCUAAGUUUGCCUUAGGGGUGUCAAGUGCAGUGUCACAGAGAGUGCAGCAUUUGAGCUGAGAGUUUAAAAUGUAAGAAGUUGGUUAGAAUCCCAAGAGAGGAGCAUCCCAGGCAGUGCAUAGAGUCUGUAUAUUGGAUGAAAAUAUCGGGGAGCAAGGUUUGUCCUGGAUCUAUACAUAGUUCAAUAAUGUAGGAUUCAAAAUAGAAGUUAAUCUUGUUUUAGUCCAUUUUCUGUUGCUAUAAUGGAAUACCCAAGGCUGGGUAAUUUGUAGACAAAAAGAAAUUCCUCACACUUCUGGAAGCUGGAAGUCCAAUAUUAAGCUGCAGACAUCUGCUGAAGGCCUUCCAGCUGCAUCAUCUCAUGGCAGAAGGCAGAAGGACAAGAGCAUGAGAGAACAAGAGUCAAACUCACAGCCACAAGCCCUUUAAAACGAUCACUAGUCCAUUUAUGAGAGUGGAAUCUUCAUGGCGUCAACACCUCCCUAAUUUAGGCCAAACCUCCAAAUACUAGUGCACUGGGGACUACAUUCCAAACAUAUCUGUUUUAGGGGACUUAUUCAGACCAUAGCGGCAAAGGAAGGAGAGAGGAGGGCUAUGUGGUUGGAUCAGAAAACAAGACUUAGAUGUUGAAAAGCUAUUUUAUGUCCCAUCAAAGAGUUUACAUUUUUAUCCUGCAGGUGAAUGGAAAUCCACUGACACAUUUUGAGAAGGGGAAGACCAGCUUCAGUUAAGGACACAGCUGUAUGAUCUAUUGUUCCUAGGAAUGACUUCAAAUUUUCUCAUUACUGCAAGACAUUAAGUUGCCAAGAUAUGAUUUACUUUAGUAAGUGCCUUUUAUGUCAUCUACGUUGGAGAGUUUUUGUGACUGUUAUUUAAAUUUCAUUUUCCUGGCAAUCUGUCUCAGUGUUAAAAAACAAAGGAGAGACUCUACGUUGGAAUCGACUAAGCAGCCUAAAACAUUGAUAACUCGUUAGGCAGACACCACCAGGACAGACCGCACACCACGUGAACCGAGAGCAGCCACCUGGAAAAGCCGAGGCGAGAGGUGCUCCUUGGCACUGCCUUUCCAAAUGUGUUCCUAUCAGCUGCACACAUUUCUGAGUAUGUGGAGGCAAAGAGAAGACUACAGAAGUGGAAAAUUGGAAGGUGGAAAAAAAAUCCCCUCAGGCAAAGAUUUAAAGUUAAUUUUAAAGAAAGUUUAGGUGGAGGAUGCUUGCUGGAGUUUGAUAAAGACACUCAAAUGGGAACCAAGGCUCUCACCUUAAUGUCAGACCUGGAGAAUGAAACCAAAUGCAGAUGGAAUGGGAAAUUCAUCAACUGAGAAAAACAUUUUUGCAUCAUUCAUGAGUGUGGAUUUUCUAAGCUUACUGGAUGUACUGUGGUUAUUAAAGUGGCCUGCCAGAAUCAUGCACUGUAUGUUUGAAUGUUGACAGAGAAGGCAUUGUUACAAGAGGCUGUCUGAACACAAACAGAAAUUACUAACUAAUAAACUGUUGAAAUAGGAAGUACAUUUAUUUUCAAUUUAUAUUGCAGAGGUGAUGUGAAGACAAAAAUUGUAUUAUUAUUUUGGCUAUCGAACCCAUUGAUUUAAAAACACAUUCGAACUUCGAGAAUGAAGAAUGUUAGUAGCAUAUCUCUCCCAUAGAUCUAGUUGCUAUAAAGGUCUUACUUUUUCCUUCUUCUCUUCUAUUGGUGACAUCAUAGUUUCCUCAAUAUUUUUGCCAAGAAAUUCCCAUCUCAGGACUUUUAACUGCUAUUCUCUUUCCCUAGGAUAUUCUUUUGUUUUGUUUUCUUUUGAGAUGGAGUCUCGC
RNAcentral lists this long non-coding RNA (2641 nucleotides) under Homo sapiens (human). Its description in RNAcentral is "HSALNT0056491". Lineage: Eukaryota; Metazoa; Chordata; Mammalia; Primates; Hominidae. The record is from RNAcentral.